AGGGCGCACAGUGGAUGCCUUGGCACUAGAAGCCGAUGAAGGACGCGACGAACAGCGAAAUGCUACGGGGAGCCGUAAGUAGGCAGAGAUCCGUAGGUGUCCGAAUGGGGGAACCCACUAGCUUCGGCUAGUACCAUGUGGUGAAUACAUAGCCACAUCGGAGGAAAACCUGGGGAACUGAAACAUCUUAGUACCCAGAGGAAAAGAAAGCAAUAGCGAUUCCCUAAGUAGAGGCGAUUGAACGGGGAACAGCCCAGACACCGUAUAGGAGUUACAAAACAUCAUCAUAGUAGAAUUGUAUUGGAAAAGCAAACCAAAGAGGGUGAAAGUCCCGUACACGAAAUGGUGAUGUCUCCGGUGUCGAAGAGUAAGGCGGAGCACGAGGAAUUCUGUCUGAAGAUGCGAGGACCAUCUCGUAAGGCUAAAUACUCUCUAGUGACCGAUAGUGAACCAGUACUGUGAAGGAAAGGUGAAAAGAACCCCUGGCGGGGAGUGAAAAAGAACCUGAAACUGUGUGCCUACAAAUAGUUAGAGCCCGUUAAUGGGUGAUAGCGUGCCUUUUGUAGAAUGAGCCGGCGAGUUACGUUAGUUUGCAAGGUUAAGCUUUAAGGAGUGGAGCCGUAGCGAAAGCGAGUCUUAAUAGGGCGAAUUAGUAGGCUGACGUAGACCCGAAACCGAGUGAUCUAUCCAUGAGCAGGUUGAAGCUUGGGUAAAACCAGGUGGAGGACCGAACCAGGGUCUGUUGAAAAAGACUUGGAUGACUUGUGGAUAGGGGUGAAAUUCCAAUCGAACUCGGAGAUAGCUGGUUCUCCCCGAAAUAGCUUUAGGGCUAGCGUUGUGGCAGAGUUAUAUGGAGGUAGAGCACUGAAUGUGUGAUGGCCUCACCUCGAGGUACUGAUCCCAAUCAAACUCCGAAUGCCAUAUAACAUACACAGCAGUCAGACUAUGGGUGCUAAGGUCCAUGGUCGAAAGGGAAACAGCCCAGACCACCAGUUAAGGUCCCGAAAUUCAUGCUAAGUGGGAAAGGAUGUGGAGUCGCAUAGACAACUAGGAGGUUGGCUUAGAAGCAGCCAUCCUUCAAAGAGUGCGUAAUAGCUCACUAGUCGAGUGAUUCUGCGCCGAAAAUGUAUCGGGGCUAAGCAUGAUACCGAAACUGUGGAAUUACAGUAAUGUAAUUGGUAGGGGAGCGUACUUAACGCGCCGAAGGUUGACCGUGAGGACAGCUGGAGCGUUAAGCAGUGAGAAUGCCGGUGUGAGUAGCGAUAAGACGGGUGAGAAUCCCGUCCGUCAGAAGCCUAAGGUUUCCAGGGGUAAGGUUCGUCCGCCCUGGGUUAGUCGGGCCCUAAGGUCAGGCUGAAGAGCGUAGCCGAUGGACAACAGGUUGAUAUUCCUGUACCACUAUUAUAACAGAUGGAGUGACGGAGGAGGCUAGCCUGGGCCAGUCAGUGGAUAUGAUUGGUUUAAGCUCAAAGAGGUUCACGUAGGCAAAUCCGCGUGAUAACACCUUGAAGAGUGACGAGGCAACUUGGGUGAAGCCACACUUCCAAGAAAAGCUUCUAUGGUUAAUUAUAAUAGUGCCCGUACCGUAAACCGACACAGGUGGGCGAGGAGAGAAUCCAAAGACGCGCGAGAUAACUCUUGUUAAGGAACUCGGCAAAAUGACCCCGUAACUUCGGGAUAAGGGGGACUCUAGCGAUAGAGUCGCAGAAAAUAGGCCCAAGCGACUGUUUAUCAAAAACACAGGUCUCUGCUAAACCGCAAGGUGAAGUAUAGGGGCUGACGCCUGCCCGGUGCUGGAAGGUUAAGAGGAGAUGUUAGGAGCAAUCCAAAGCAUUGAAUUGAAGCCCCAGUAAACGGCGGCCGUAACUAUAACGGUCCUAAGGUAGCGAAAUUCCUUGUCGGGUAAGUUCCGACCCGCACGAAAGGCGUAACGUUUUGGGCGCUGUCUCAACAAGAGACUCGGUGAAAUCAUAGUACCUGUGAAGAUGCAGGUUACCCGCGACUAGACGGGAAGACCCCAUGGAGCUUCACUGCAACUUAAUAUUGAUACUGGGUAUGUGAUGUACAGGAUAGGUGGGAGACUGAGAAACGAGCACGCCAGUGUUCGGGGAGUCGCCCUUUGGAUACCACCCUUCGCAUAUCUAGUAUCUAACUAGUGCCCGUGAUCCGGGCAUAGGACAGUGUUUGGUGGGCAGUUUGACUGGGGCGGUCGCCUCCCAAAGAGUAACGGAGGCGCCCAAAGGUUCCCUCAGAAUGGUUGGAAAUCAUUCAUAGAGUGUAAAGGCAGAAGGGAGCUUGACUGCGAGACCUACAAGUCGAGCAGGAACGAAAGUUGGGCUUAGUGAACCGGCUACGCUGAAUGGAAAGGUAGUCGAUCAACGGAUAAAAGCUACCCUGGGGAUAACAGGCUGAUCUCCCCCAAGAGUUCACAUCGACGGGGAGGUUUGGCACCUCGAUGUCGGCUCAUCGCAUCCUGGGGCCGGAGAAGGUCCCAAGGGUUGGGCUGUUCGCCCAUUAAAGCGUUACGUGAGCUGGGUUCAGAACGUCGUGAGACAGUUCGGUCCCUAUCUGUCGUGGGCGUUGGAAAUUUGAGAGGAGUUGCUCUUAGUACGAGAGGACCAGAGUGAACACACCACUGGUGUACCAGUUGGCCUGCCAGGGCCACAGCUGGGUAGCUACGUGUGGACGGGAUAAACGCUGAAAGCAUCUAAGCGUGAAGCCCCCCUCAAGAUGAGAUUUCCCAUUCGU
This 2748-nucleotide ribosomal RNA is filed under the name metagenome. RNAcentral's name for it is "bacterial LSU rRNA". It matches the Rfam family "Bacterial large subunit ribosomal RNA". The record is from RNAcentral.